RNAcentral lists this ribosomal RNA (468 nucleotides) under Triticum aestivum (bread wheat). RNAcentral describes it as "partial small subunit ribosomal RNA". Lineage: Eukaryota; Viridiplantae; Streptophyta; Magnoliopsida; Poales; Poaceae. The record is from RNAcentral.
AUGAAAUGUGUCAAGUCAACUAGAACAGUUUUGAAUGAACUUAGAGAAAAUGGAUGGGACUCUUUGGUAGGUGAAGUUCAUGUGUUUUGUGAGAAACAUGAUAUUAUAGAAUUUGACAUGGAAGAAGCAUAUGUGAAUCCAAAAAAGAGAAGGCAGAUAACUGGAAUUACCAACAAACAUCACUAUCAAGUUGAUUGCUUCAAUGAUGUUUUUGAUUGGCUAGUUCAAGAGCUUGACAAUAGGUUCAGUGAGACAUCCUCUAACUUGCUUGUUUGGUCAGCAACUUUGAGUCCAAGAGACACAUUUCGUGAUUUCAAUUUGGAGAAUCUUAUGAGUUUGGCUAACUUAUACCCUCAGGAUUUUGAUUCCGGGGAUUUGAGGGAUCUUGAUAAGGAUCUACGGCUCUAUAUUGCUGAUGUGGGCACGGAUGAUAGCUUUUCCCACAUAGCAACAAUCACCGAGCUUUAA